UGCACGUCGACAGCGUCGAUAUCUUGAGAGCCACGGAAACCGCAGGUGGUAGCGGCAGCCCGCAUGCCGUGAAAUGUUCCCGUCAACGAAAGAUGUGCCACUUUUUGAAUAUCCAGGUAUGCGGAGAAAAAGCGAUCGACUUCACCCGGAUAAUGCUGUGCACCAGCCGUGAAGGACCAACGCCUCC
Molecule: long non-coding RNA, 187 nt
Organism: Ornithodoros turicata
Lineage: Eukaryota; Metazoa; Arthropoda; Arachnida; Ixodida; Argasidae
Exons: 3
Source: RefSeq, a predicted model, not a curated record